RNAcentral lists this ribosomal RNA (275 nucleotides) under uncultured prokaryote. RNAcentral describes it as "partial 16S ribosomal RNA". It matches the Rfam family "Bacterial small subunit ribosomal RNA", at positions 524 to 798 of the family's 1533-position model. The record is from RNAcentral.
GACGAACCGUCCAAACGUUAUUCGGAAUUACUGGGCUUAAAGGGUGCGUAGGCGGCUCUGCAAGUUGGGUGUGAAAUCCCUCGGCUCAACCGAGGAAUGGCGCCCAAAACUGUGGAGCUCGAGGGAGACAGAGGUGAGUGGAACUUGUGGUGGAGCGGUGAAAUGCGUUGAUAUCACAAGGAACACCGGUGGCGAAAGCGGCUCACUGGGUCUCUUCUGACGCUGAGGCACGAAAGCUGGGGGAGCGAACGGGAUUAGAUACCCGUGUAGUCCCU